UUUUUGGAGAGUUUGAUCUUGGCUCAGGACGAACGCUGGCGGCGUGCCUAAUACAUGCAAGUCGAGCGCUGGAAGCUAAUUUCAUCCCUUCGGGAUGAAAUUAGUGGAAAGAGCGGCGGACGGGUGAGUAACACGUGGGCAACCUACCUAUAAGACUGGGAUAACUCGCGGAAACGUGAGCUAAUACCGGAUAAUACUU
Molecule: ribosomal RNA, 199 nt
Filed under: Bacilli bacterium
Lineage: Bacteria; Bacillati; Bacillota; Bacilli
Description: partial 16S ribosomal RNA
Rfam family: Bacterial small subunit ribosomal RNA
Source: RNAcentral